Molecule: ribosomal RNA, 717 nt
Filed under: uncultured Bacilli bacterium
Lineage: Bacteria; Bacillati; Bacillota; Bacilli
Description: bacterial SSU rRNA
Rfam family: Bacterial small subunit ribosomal RNA
Source: RNAcentral
GCGGCGUGCCUAAUACAUGCAAGUCGAACGCUUCUUUCCUCCCGAGUGCUUGCACUCAAUUGGAAAGAGGGGUGGCGGACGGGUGAGUAACACGUGGGUAACCUACCCAUCAGAGGGGGAUAACACUUGGAAACAGGUGCUAAUACCGCAUAACAGUUUAUGUCGCAUGGCAUAAGAGUGAAAGGCGCUUUCGGGUGUCGCUGAUGGAUGGACCCGCGGUGCAUUAGCUAGUUGGUGAGGUAACGGCUCACCAAGGCCACGAUGCAUAGCCGACCUGAGAGGGUGAUCGGCCACACUGGGACUGAGACACGGCCCAGACUCCUACGGGAGGCAGCAGUAGGGAAUCUUCGGCAAUGGACGAAAGUCUGACCGAGCAACGCCGCGUGAGUGAAGAAGGUUUUCGGAUCGUAAAACUCUGUUGUUAGAGAAGAACAAGGACGUUAGUAACUGAACGUCCCCUGACGGUAUCUAACCAGAAAGCCACGGCUAACUACGUGCCAGCAGCCGCGGUAAUACGUAGGUGGCAAGCGUUGUCCGGAUUUAUUGGGCGUAAAGCGAGCGCAGGCGGUUUCUUAAGUCUGAUGUGAAAGCCCCCGGCUCAACCGGGGAGGGUCAUUGGAAACUGGGAGACUUGAGUGCAGAAGAGGAGAGUGGAAUUCCAUGUGUAGCGGUGAAAUGCGUAGAUAUAUGGAGGAACACCAGUGGCGAAGGCGGCUC